Long non-coding RNA from Vespula vulgaris, 447 nucleotides. RefSeq lists it as uncharacterized. The transcript has 2 exons. The record is from RefSeq and is a predicted model, not a curated record. Lineage: Eukaryota; Metazoa; Arthropoda; Insecta; Hymenoptera; Vespidae.
CUGUAACAUUUACGUAAGUACCUAGCAACACUAUAUUCUCUGUCUACCAUACCUUCAUAAAUCGUUUGGAUACCGUGGAGAGAAGUAAUGCGAAGAAUACUUUCUAAAUGAAGAGGAUUGUAUUCUAAUAGGUUCGUUAUACAAAAAAAUUUUUUAUAAUGCUAUCUCAAUUAUAAAGUAAUUAUAAUUCAUUGUAUAUGAUGAUAUUAUCACUCAUUUUUAUGAUUUCUGAUUAUUCUUACAUGCAUCACCAGCUGAUUAAUUUUCUAACUGCUUUAAAUAUUACAUAUAAUUUUAAAAAGAUAAUCAAUAUAUAAUUUUUUUUUCAGGGUAAGGAUAAUAUAUAUUUUGAAAUACAAAGCCGUAAGCAAUUAAAUUUGUAUUAAAAAAACAAAUACAUUGUAUCUAUCAAUAUAAUAAGAAAUAAAUAUAAAAUAUAACAAUUAA